AGCUAACUAAAGCUCCCAUUGUGUUUACAGAUUUCUUCUCGAGGCAUUUUUAAUGCUGUUUUGCACGUUGGGAGAGAGAGUUUAUUUAGAAACAAAUGGGAGACCAAGAGAGGAGUCUUCUUCUUUCUUUCUUUCUUUUCUUUUUUUAAUUGAUGUCCAUUUACACCUCAGCCCAGUUAACUCCACAAAUUCCUGACUCCCGAGGAGGAGUCUUGUCACAGGGCUGCCUGCCUGCGGCCAUCAGCCAUGGUUUCUUUUUGAACAAGCUUUUCUUUUAACACUUAAAACCAGGGAUGAUUUAACAGAGAGUGUCUCAAGUCUGUGAGCUACAGCCCCCUUAGACUGUACCCAAACAAAGCUACUAAUGUGUGGUCAGUUUCUUGGCAACUCCACUCUCGGCUGAUAACGCUCCUGCUUGCAAUUCUCCAAGGAGCCGGCUGCUGGAAGACUGCUCCGAGCCUCAUCCCCUUGGUGCUCCUGAUGCGGGCGAUCCUCCGACUGCACGGCGCCAACCACAACAUGCUACCCACCGUGAGAGAGCAGGACGCGGGCUGCUCUAGUCAGGACUUAUCGUCUAUCAUACUGAUUGACGAAACCAAGAGUGAGCAGAAAAAAUAAACACGAACAGAGGCUGCAGUGUAUGGGCCAGUCUGCUGGGAGUUUUAGUAUUUGGCCUUGGUGAUCCUACUCUCAUGGUAGGUUAUCUUUUCCUCGUGCUAUCAUUUAUCAUAACUUUGAGGGCCAGGGAGAGAAACAAACCUACAAUUUUUUUCUAUUGGUUACAUUCAUUAGACUGCUUUCUUUCUUUCUUUCUUCCCUCCCACCCCCUUUUCCUUAGCACUCUUUCCUUUGCCCCCACCCCACCCCACCGCACCCCAUAAUAAUCCCAUCUCUUCAAAUAGUAUUCCCUAAAGAAUGGUGAAAUGAAAUCUAAAUACAGUCCUUCCCCCUUUUUACUCCUGUUCCACAUAGAUCAUUGCAAGUAAUUAACCUUUGUUAUUCCAUCAAAUCUAGAAUGCAAAACCUACAUGUUAAUUUGCUUAAGUCAGACCCAAUAAUAAAUCUGCUUCUGUAGCAGCUAAACUCAAUGAAGAUCCUGGAUGUUGUUCAGUUAUUUGGAUAGCUAGCAUCUUCUUCUUAAAUAAUGGCACUUGACUUUUUCAGGCACAAACCAUGUUUUGUAUUGGACUUGACAGCCACUAUAAAGUACUCCCCCAAGUGUCAGUAACAAAGAUGAUUUGUAUGUGGCUUGCAGUCUUCCAGUGUCCUAAUAGCUUUCUCAUUCCAACCCAGAAACAUGGAACACAGGGCUGCUGGUUAAAGCUGAUACAAGCAUUUCUUCUCUCAGCAGGCUAUUCUUGCAUAACCAUUUAUUUUGCAGAGUUUUAAAGUGCCUGAAGGAUUUAAUUAUGUACAUAGACAACCCCUAUAAACUCUAUUCUAGGGUUUUUAUUGACUUUUGUACUGGGCAGCUCUUAGGCAUUUCAAUUAAGUGUUUUUAUAAGAAAAACUUACAAUAUUGUAAAAAAAAAAAACUUUUUUCUUUAUAGAUACUUCCAAACAGGUUUCUUCCCCUCACCUGACUGAAUAAACUAUUCAAUUGACAAAACAAAGCAAAACAAAAAUACAGGUUAAUUCAAGGUUUAGUUUUUCCAGUUUGGGAAAAUAGAGGGUUGAAAAACCACACAGGUUUGUGAAAAUAGACCUGUCGAUAUCAGGGAAAUGACAUAGACAGAGGGAGGAGGUCAAGAUGACUUUGAAAUACACUCUGAAAUGUCACAAGGCUACCUGUUACUCAGGAGUUUCCUUAAACUCAUGAGGGUAAAAACCUAAAUGCAAAAUUUUACAUGUUCCACUUAACAAGUGCAGAAUAAUAAAUUACCAAAUUCAUUUGGAGCACCCGCCUGACAGACCUAACCCUCAAAAGUCUCCAGGAGACCCCAAAGCCGCCUUUGUCUGCCUUCUUCAAUUGCAGGGCUCAAGUAUUUACAAGGCUUCUGCAAACCUGCCUUCAUUAUGAUGUGGGAUAUUUCAAGCCCAGCAGGUGGCCAACAGGAGACCAGACCUGCCCGUGAAAUAUGUAAUACUUUUUCAUAUACUUUAACCAGAAAUGUGCCCCUCCACAACUCUCCUAAGUGUUCUAAUUUCCCUUUCUCCUCUUAAUCUCCUCAGCAAGUCAUGAGCAUGCAUUAAAAUCUACCUAAAACAUUUCACCCACAGGCAAUGUAAUUCUGAAACAAGCAACCAACAUUUCACAGCUCUGGAGUAAUAGAUUAAUUUGAACCUAAUGUUGCCGUCGUUUACUGCUCCAAAUGUUCUGGUGUAGACAUAGCCCUGAGGCAUGGUGCUGUGGCAUGCACAACUUUGGGAGCCGGAGCUACAGUUGGCUUAACAUCUGUGCAUCAGAUUUGCCAUGUGCCUCAUUAUCCUGCACCCCACUGUGCCUACCUGUCCCCCUCAGCUUCUCAGCCACAGGCGAUCUAAUUUUUUUCCCCUCCAACUAAGAAUCUUUGUUCUCCUUCUCACUUACUAAAUUUUUGCAAGACCUCUGCACCCAAGCCGUGGGGAUUCGGUCCAUGUGAACAGCUCAGGCCCUUUUAGAUUCUUAAUUCUCCAUUAGGAAGAGGAAAAUUACAGCAUUGAGUUUCUGACAUGCCACUGCAUAAAUUGUGCCAUUUGCAGAACCUACUAGAGUCUGUGACUAAACUCAUAGGCGUGUAAUAAAGCAUGGUGUUGUUGGUUUUGACUUUAACAAGUUUGGUUGGCUUCAAUUAUCUGUAAGCAAAUAAAGAGUAACUUCCAACUCCAGAUGGAAGAAGAACCAAAAAACCAAAUCCAGUCACAGAAAAAUAAGACUGUCACAUCAAAACUUAAAACUAAUAUAUGUGUAAUAUGAAUUGUAAGGCAUUCUGCUGUCAUAUAUAACAAAGUAGAAUAAAAAAAAUCUAAGCAUCUUAAUCUAUUUAAGGAGUUAGCAUUUCAAAGCUCAUUGCCACAAACAGUUGAUACAUAUAACAACCCUAUCCCCUCACAAAAAUAAAAAAUAGAAAAAACAAGGCUUUAAAAUAUAUCUAGCAACCAGGCCAAACAGCUGCUUGAAUUUUAAUCCUGCUUAAACAAUAAAAGAAUCAUAGGACUCCUUUAUUGGUUUUCCAUUGGAAGUGUUUUGGGUACCUAUUUAACAAGAGACAGAAUAAAGACUUAGUCCCACCAAAAUUAUUUAAAAUAUUCAAAACUCAAAUAAUACUUAUCAUCACAAAAUUUUGGCAUUAAUAAUAAUAGCAUCAAUAAUAAAAUAUUGAUGUGAUUAAUGAAAAGCACAGAAUAGCCAUACUAGUGUUAAAUGUAGAAAUGCCACUGUCCUUGCCACAAGAUAGGAAGAAAAUUUCAAACCAGAGGACUGAGCUUCAAAAAGGCCAAAGUUAUGAAUGAAGAAGAUUUAAAACAGUAUCUACAUAUUUGUCAAGCUGGAUUUAGAUAGUAGCAUUUAACCAAGGUGACUUAGUGUUCUUUAAUUAUUUACUAACAUCAUAAGGAAUAUUUUACUCUAGGCAUUAGAAAAUGAGUUUUAAAUGAUUGUUUUCCUAGAACUAAUAAAUUUUUAAAAAUUAAUCAGAUUCAAACAAUUCAUACAAACCAUUAUCCAUAGUUUUAAUCCUUAGAGAAUAAAAUUGAGGCCCUGAGAGAGAAUUUUUCUAAUGCCCUCCCCAUGUAAAAAUAUGCGCUGCUCCAGAAAUUGUAUUGGAUUUCCACACUUGCCCACAUAAUCCUCAACAUCUACACAGUACAGAGUGUUGAGUCUUGCACAUUUCAUUAUAUGCUUGAAUUCAUUUACCCUAUAUGGAAUUUGUUACCUUUACAGUAAAAAAGUCGCUAUUCAUUAUUGAGAGUGGACAGAUGGAACAUGUUCAACUUAAGACAUCAAUAAGAAGAGAGGGAAAAACUUAUAAUCCAUGUGGCACAGCCUCCUCCAUCUGGUAGUUCCCCGCUUGUCUGCCAAGACUUUUUUUUCCAAAUAAAAGAGAACAUUUCUCUUUGGAGUAAAUGGAACAUUCUCAGAUAUUGACCCUGAUUCUGAUUUAUACAUAAUAAGCAAGCAUGCUAUUAAAAUAUGAUAUGUUCCAAAAGUAAUGUGUAUCAUUAGGGGAAGGUUUUGAGCCUAAUUGGAAAAAAAAAAAGUUAAUUAGAACUAUUUUUCUAAAAGCAUUAUCAGAUAAACAAAUUAGUUUUUUCUAUGAUAGAUCAUGAAGGCAAUUGAACAAGUUAUUUCACCCUUUUAAAGAACAUAUUGAAAGCUACAUAAAUACAAAAUUGGACCAGGAAAGUGGCUGGCAAUCUGAGACAGGAGGACUACAUUUGUACAUCCUUCCCAAGCCCUGGAUCCCAUACAUGAUGCCUGAUGUCUAAGGGAAGAAGCUCAGUCCACACUUACAUCCCAAACCACAGCUGUCGGGAUCAAUUUGCUAAAAUCCAGCACACAAGACUAUCACUCUUUGGCAUGAGUUAAAUCCUAUCAUAUCUCCAAAAGUUAAUCAAACAAUUUCAUUUAAUAAAUCAAGGCAAAGUAUAUGGACCUCUCAUGUAUUUCUUCAACCCUCACAUUUGCUCCUUAUUUCUGUUGUUCUUUGAAUAAGCCAUCAUGUCUUUGCAUGAUAGAAAAUGAACAGGUUCUUUGAUUGUUAAUGUGCCAACUCCAGGAUGUACAAAUAAUAUUGGGGAGUCCAUGUCCAUUUCUCUGACAAUGCUCUACUGAUUAAAGAGAUCCUUGUAGGGGGAAAAAAGAGCUGACCAUAUACCUACUUUAUUUAUUUGGGAAUUGACAGAUACUUUAAUGUAAUAUAAAAUAUUUUAAGUUUAUUUCUUUAAAUGAUUUCUAAAAAUUUCAGCAAUGUAGGCAAUAAGCACUCUCACUAGUUUUGAUAUUGAGAAAUUUUUAAAAUUAAGACUUCUCUGACCUACAUUUAAGUUGAAUCUUUGAACACUAAAAUUGGGUCUUUACAAAAAGUGCUUUUCUCCAAAUUACUUUGUUAAAUUCAGUUAAACUGGAAUUUAGGGGUCAGAAGCUUGUUGACUUCCACCCAGUUGCAUCACUAGCUAGCUGCUCAAUUUCUUCAUCUCUAUAAUGAGAAUUAUUAUAAUGCCUACUUUGUGGACCCUUGUGAAGAUUAAAUGAGAUGAUAUGUAUAAGCGCUUAUGAUAAUACUAAGACUGUGUAAAAGUAACAUAUCAGCUACUAUUUUAAUAUUAUGUGUGCAUUUUGGAUUUUUAAAAAAAUAUUUAUUCUUUAGUUAUAGAUGGACACAAUAUCUUCAUUUUAUUUUUAUGUGGUGCUGAGGAUCAAACCCAGUGCCUCAUGCAUGGUAGGCAACUGCUCUACCCUUGAGCCAUAACCCCAGCCCACAUUUUGGAUUUUUAACAAAAUUUAAACUAUAUAUAACAUCACUAGAAUUGCAUUGGGUAUUAUCUGGGGAAAUCACUCUAAAUCCAUUAAUCUGAUUCUAAGGAGGUAAUUAUAAUCUGUAGCCUGAAUUCAGACCCUCUGAUGAAAACAUAGAAAUUUGGCAAUUUGGUGGUUCUCAACGACCUUUCUAACUACUUCUUUGGGUCCUUGCCCAGCAAAACCUAUUUCAGUUAUUUGCAUAAAUGCGUAAUCAUCAAAUCAAAUAAAAAUCUGUUAAAUCUACCCCUCUUUUUGUAUUGCACAAAUUCUUAAUUUAACUUUCUACACAUAGCACAAGAUGUUCAUGGACGCAUUUCUAGACAUUAUUCUGCAAAUACCCUUUUGUCUCCUGUCCGUUUGACAUUUCUCCAUUCAUCUCCCUUUUCAGAAGUUAUAAGCUAAAUUAUGUCCUUCCAAAAUUGACACUUUAAUGCCCUAAUGCCCAACCACAGAAUAUGAAUGUAUUUGGAGAUAAGAAUUUUUAAAAGUGGUUAGUUAAAAUGAUGCCAUUAGGAUAGGCCAAAACCCAAUCUGACUAGUGUCCUUAUAAGAAGAGGUAUUUGGGACACACACAGACACCAUGGGCAUGCAUGCAUAGGGGAAUGACAACAUGAGAGGGCACAAAAGAGAGGGGAGUGAUCAUCCAGCCAAGGAGAGAGGCUUUAGGAGCUACAAAGCCUACCAACACCUUGAUCUUGAACUUCUUUUCACUGCUGAAUCCAUCUAGUCUGGUACUUUGUUAGGAGAGCACUAGUAAACUAACAGAGUACAUUCAAUUUUCCAUUCACUGACUCAUUUGUAAGCGGGGCUCCAGGCUUCCCCUCUCUCCCAAAUGCCCUAUCUUCCAGCAUAUUCUACAAUGCAUCUUACUUAUUUAAAGGUCUGAGAGCCCAGGAAUCUGAGAUUUCUUAGGCUAGGAAUGAAUCCAUGUCCCUUUGUUUACCUAGCAUGGACCAUGUACUUGGCAGAGUUCCUGGAUUAGUGAAUGAAUGAAUGGAUGGAUGGAUGAAAAACACCUAACUGGCUACCACAUCAAAAUAAGGAAUAAGAACUACUUAUAAAAAUUGGAAAGACACUACUAUAACACAAACCCAUUUCUGACUGCAUCCAAAUCAUCCCUGUACCCAAUAUCUAGUGGCACUACCUAGUGUCACUGCAAAGGAAAGGACACAAAACUGUAAAAUAACACACAGUUCUAUGAUUUCUGGACUAUUAUGAACAGUUCAAUCAAUAAAACCUACAAAUAUUGUUUGCCUAAGAUUUGAAAAUCUUCCUUGGCUCCCUGUACAAUGCAGAGGUACAGCUACUCUAAUUCAGACCAAUCUGUGCCCUUUCCACUUUGAGGACUAGAACAGCAUUUCUGAGAACAGAAAGUCGAGCCUAUUAUGGCAACCAGCUUUUUAAAACCUUGGUUCUUAAAAACCUGCUUUUAAAUGAAGUUAUGUGGUAAUAAAAUGUGAUACAGUCUGGAUUGUAUUGAUAUGGAAUUAUGGAAUUGAUGCUAUAUACUAACAUUUUGGUACAAUGACUUAGAACAUACUUUAAAGCCCCAAAAGAGCCCUCGCACAGCAUACCAGCAUUAUGGGCACUUUAGUUAGAUCACUCAUUCAUGGUACAAAAAGCCAGAAGGUGGCUCUCUGGAAUUCCUGGUAAUGAAAGGACAAAGAAUUAAGGUGAACCAACUAAUUUAAAUUUCACACUCUCCCUUCCAAUAAUUGAAGGGAACUGAGGUUGCAAAUCCUGUUUCAGAAUUUACUUUCAAAAUUCAAGAAAACACUGUGAGCAGACAUCUAAUUUUUAAUGGUACUUAGGUUCUGCAUAUGAUUAAGCACAAACUUGCAAAGAAUUACUCACAACACCAAUGCCAUGGAGCUAUUCUCAAACUUGCUGGAGCCAGGAGUAUUUGGAAGGGAAAUGGGGGCAGGCGACCUGAAGCCCACUCCCUUGGGUCAGUGCAUGCUAGGAGGGGAAAUGAGCUACAGAGCAGACAAUUUUCAGCAUCAGUGGUUUUACUUUCUUUACCAGGCCUCACAAAAACACACUGACAAAACAAAGGACACAAAAUUAAUGACCCAUGCAUUCUGUCAAUUGACUCUUAGUAGCAGUGGCCAGUUCACCUUAAUUUUUUUGUUCACAUUGAACAUGUAGCCCAAGGCAUUGGUUAAGGUUCACUUAAGAAUUCUUCAAAGGCAUCACUUGGUUUUCAUUAAUUUGUUAACUGUAACUUCUCCUUUCUGCUAAGGAACCCACAUACCAAGUAAAGACCUUUAUGCAAAAUGAAAAAACAAAAGACACAUGUUUGACCAACCAGCUGGUUUUUUUCCCCUUCCUUUGCCCUAGAGUAAUCACUUCCCAUUCAUGAAUAUUAGAGUAAAUUACACCCAUCAGAUUUUUAUAGCACUUAAAUUAUAGUUAAACCCUCUUGUUGUUCUCAGAAAUCCAAGUGUCAACUCUCAGCUAUUGCAGAGGAAUAAGUUACACUGUAGCCUGUUAUUUCUGUGAGUAAUUAUUUCCUAAUUAUUCCUGUGGUCUUUAACCAUGAUUUUUGAUGAAAUUCAAUUUGAUUAUGCAUGAAACAUGGCCAGCUAAAUAAAAUUUAUGGAUUGAUGAGGAAUAUGAAUUCAAAAGAGCUAAAAAUGCAACUUUGUAUUUACAUGUCUAUAUAGAGAUCAUGCUGCCCUUAAAAUGCAGGUUGUUUGCACUGAAAAUAUCUUUCACUUACUGGACCACAAUGGACAUUUUGAUAAUAGAAUGAUUUUUUUUUUUCAUUUGCUCAAUAAUCACAAAGAAGUUCAUCUCUAUAAAUAUCCCUUUGGAAAAAAUUUUAAAAUGUAAAACACUUUUCCAAAAACAUAUCUAAUGAAUACUAAGACAUCAAUGGCAGGGCCUGAAUUUUCUUUUAUCCAAUUCAGAUCCAGAAUAUGGAAUGAGAAAACAGUUGAUUUUGAGCCUCAAAGGAAGUUAGUAGUUUUUUAACAUUUCUAUUCAUAAAAAUGUGGUAUCAAGACAGUUUAAAGUGUGAAAGAGCCUACCAUAGGGACAUUUGGUAGUUUUUAGCAAAGGAAAUGGAUUCCAUGAAGCAAAUGCGCCAUUCCUUUCUACAAACUUCUCAAACAGUUAUAAAAUAUGAUAGUGAUGCUUGGUUGGUAUAACUUUACGUUAGUUGGAUCUGUCAGCAUUUCCAUUACGAACCCUUGAUUUUCAAGGUUUUAUAAUUCAGCUGUGAAAAGUUGCUCUAGAAAGAAAGUUGGCAAGACAGUCUCAGCCAGGGAGUUUAUCAAAUUGAACAAAUCUUUGUUUAGCUAUCUCUCAGUUCUGUGAGCCAAGGUCUACUCCCAGUUAGACAUGCCAAACUUCCAAUGACUUCAGUGCCAGGGAGAGGUUUUUUCCUCUCUCUCUUUAAAUUCACUUCACAAGAGCUUCUCUCAUUCUUGUUUCAGAAGCCGCCAGGACCCAGCUCAUAUCCUGUGUAACCCAGUGGGAGAAGAGCCACAUCAUAUGUAACCCUGUAGGACACAUGAAUGGAGUCCUGGCCAAGUGUCUCCAGCAUGAAAUGUGGAUAGUACUACAGAGAGACUUGGAGCUUUUGAAUAUGUAUAUAAUUAAAAUGUAGACACAUCAUACCUCUGCUUGCACAGAGAAGUGGUGCUCAUUUAUUUAGAGCUUUGUCAACUGUGGGAGCGCACAUGUACUUCAGGGGAGUUCUAAUUAAGGAGAAUACCAAUGUACUGCUGCAUUAUCUUUGAAGAGUGAGAGAGGGAAAAGGGCAAGCUAAACUGUGUACAUUAUUUAUUCUAGACCUCCUAUACAGCUUUUAGACAUAUAUUUAUUUUACUGAAGUUGAGGUGUUAAGAAUGUAUAUAAGCCUGUUCUUGAUCAGAGUAGGAAAAAGGUAGUUUUUAUCAAAUGUAAAAUUAUGCUAUUUAUCAAAUACAAGAUGUUUAGAAGAGAUAGUCCCAGACAAGAUGGUAUAAUAGUUCAUUCUAAAAGACUGUCUAUUAAAAUAUUUAUUAAAACAUUUAUCUAUUCAUGUAACAGCUUUCAUUUGAGGUUAUUUGCUUAGACAUACUAGCCUGGAUAUAUUUCACAAGUAAAAACACAAAUCAGACAGAAAUUCUUCACAAAAUAAGGUGGUUUUUUGUUUGUUUGUUUGUUUUGUUUUGUUUUUGUUUUUUUGGUGGUGGGGAUUCAACCCAGGGCAUUUUACAGCUGAGCCACAUCCCCAGCCCUAUUUUGUGAUUUAUUUAGAUAUAGGAUCUCACUGAGUUGCUUAGCACCUCACUUUUGCUGAGGCUGGCUUUGAACUCAUGAUCUUCCUCCUCAACCUCCCAAGCUGCUGAGAUUAUAAGUAUGCACCAUGGCACCCAGCACAAAAUGAGUUAUAAUUGUCAGAGGAGAUAGUAGGUAUGAACGUAAGAUAAAUCAUAAUAGGAGAUGGAAAUGCAAGGUAUCAGAAGGGAAAAACAGAAAGGAUGUUCUGGUAGGUUAGAAAAUGGAGGUGUAUAAUAUGCCAAGGUACAUAAUUAACAUAACAAAUUUCUACUGUUACACAGUAAGAUAUUUAAAUAUAG
Molecule: long non-coding RNA, 10011 nt
Filed under: Marmota monax (woodchuck)
Lineage: Eukaryota; Metazoa; Chordata; Mammalia; Rodentia; Sciuridae
Source: RNAcentral